This 497-nucleotide ribosomal RNA is filed under the name uncultured bacterium. RNAcentral's name for it is "partial 16S ribosomal RNA". It matches the Rfam family "Bacterial small subunit ribosomal RNA", at positions 28 to 507 of the family's 1533-position model. The record is from RNAcentral.
GAUGAACGCUGGCGGCGUGCCUAAUACAUGCAAGUCGAGCGAACGGACGAGAAGCUUGCUUCUCUGAUGUUAGCGGCGGACGGGUGAGUAACACGUGGAUAACCUACCUAUAAGACUGGGAUAACUUCGGGAAACCGGAGCUAAUACCGGAUAAUAUUUUGAACCGCAUGGUUCAAAAGUGAAAGACGGUCUUGCUGUCACUUAUAGAUGGAUCCGCGCUGCAUUAGCUAGUUGGUAAGGUAACGGCUUACCAAGGCAACGAUGCAUAGCCGACCUGAGAGGGUGACCGGCCACACUGGAACUGAGACACGGUCCAGACUCCUACGGGAGGCAGCAGUAGGGAAUCUUCCGCAAUGGGCGAAAGCCUGACGGAGCAACGCCGCGUGAGUGAUGAAGGUCUUCGGAUCGUAAAACUCUGUUAUUAGGGAAGAACAUAUGUGUAAGUAACUGUGCACAUCUUGACGGUACCUAAUCAGAAAGCCACGGCUAACUACGUG